This 193-nucleotide ribosomal RNA is filed under the name Bacillus sp. I-2. RNAcentral describes it as "partial 16S ribosomal RNA". It matches the Rfam family "Bacterial small subunit ribosomal RNA", at positions 1 to 193 of the family's 1533-position model. The record is from RNAcentral. Lineage: Bacteria; Bacillati; Bacillota; Bacilli; Caryophanales; Bacillaceae.
UCGGAGAGUUUGAUCCUGGCUCAGGACGAACGCUGGCGGCGUGCCUAAUACAUGCAAGUCGAGCGAACAGAAGGGAGCUUGCUCCCGGAUGUUAGCGGCGGACGGGUGAGUAACACGUGGGUAACCUGCCUGUAAGACUGGGGUAACUCCGGGAAACCGGAGCUAAUACCGGAUAGUUCCUUGAACCGCAUGG